RNAcentral lists this ribosomal RNA (465 nucleotides) under Vreelandella stevensii. Its description in RNAcentral is "partial 16S ribosomal RNA". It matches the Rfam family "Bacterial small subunit ribosomal RNA", at positions 338 to 795 of the family's 1533-position model. Lineage: Bacteria; Pseudomonadati; Pseudomonadota; Gammaproteobacteria; Oceanospirillales; Halomonadaceae. The record is from RNAcentral.
CCUACGGGUGGCAGCAGUGGGGAAUAUUGGACAAUGGGGGGAACCCUGAUCCAGCCAUGCCGCGUGUGUGAAGAAGGCCCUCGGGUUGUAAAGCACUUUCAGUGAGGAAGAACGCCUGGUGGUUAAUACCCAUCAGGAAAGACAUCACUCACAGAAGAAGCACCGGCUAACUCCGUGCCAGCAGCCGCGGUAAUACGGAGGGUGCGAGCGUUAAUCGGAAUUACUGGGCGUAAAGCGCGCGUAGGUGGCUUGAUAAGCCGGUUGUGAAAGCCCCGGGCUCAACCUGGGAACGGCAUCCGGAACUGUCAAGCUAGAGUGCAGGCGAGGAAGGUAGAAUUCCCGGUGUAGCGGUGAAAUGCGUAGAGAUCGGGAGGAAUACCAGUGGCGAAGGCGGCCUUCUGGACUGACACUGACACUGAGGUGCGAAAGCGUGGGUAGCAAACAGGAUUAGAUACCCCAGUAGUC